GGAUAGGACGGGGAAAGGGAUAUAUAGGAAAGUCAACGGGUUGGGUUAGCGACGAAUUUUAAAAAUUCGAAUUCAAAUCUGACUAUCAAAUUCAAAUCCGACUAAUUUUAAAAACUCAUAUCCAUAUUUGAACCUGACCAAAAAUUCGAAACCCGAACCCGAAUCUAAAUCCGCAUACCCGAAUCCGGAAUAAUUAUUUCUCUUUAUAAUAUUUCAAAAUAUAUUACAUUAAAUCUAAAUUUUUAAAAUACAAAUUUAAAUAUAAUAUCAAAACUUUNGAGAGAGAGAGUAGAGCUACUAUGCUAUCGAAAGCAUAAAGUGGUUGGUGCUUCCGAUUUUUUACCCCUUAGAUCAACCCUAUUGCUCAUUUCUAACCAUUGGAUUAAUAUUAUUAACAUAGUUAGUUAAUUCGGAUUCGGCAAAAAUUCGGUACGGAUAUUAUACGCAUAAAAUUCGUUUUCUAAUUUUUAAAUUCGUUUAAAAAUUCGGCUUAAAAAACGGAUUUAAUAUAAAAUAUAAAAUAUAAGAUAAUUUAUAUUUAAAAAUAAAAAUUAUAAUUUUUUAUUCAUAUUUUCAAUAAUUCGGCGAUAAUUCACGAAUAAUUCGCGAAUAAUUCGGCUGGCCCAAAAAUUCGCGAAUAAUUCUCUUUAUUUGGGAAAAAUUCGUAAACGGACCGUUUAAUUCGGAUUUUUAAUAAUUCGCGAAUAAUUUGCAGAUUUACUAACUAGAUUAUUAACCAAUAGGGAUUACUCAACCCUGGGGGGACCACUCAAUCCUAAGGGGAUCGCUAUCAUCCUAACCGUAGAAUUUUUGAUCCAAUGGCUAAAAAAUUGGAAGCACUAACUAUUUUAUACUUCCGAUAGCAUAGUAG
This 871-nucleotide long non-coding RNA is filed under the name Ananas comosus (pineapple). RNAcentral's name for it is "long non-coding RNA (ACOM_LNC005061)". Lineage: Eukaryota; Viridiplantae; Streptophyta; Magnoliopsida; Poales; Bromeliaceae. The record is from RNAcentral.